UGCCAGACUCCUACGGAGGCAGCAGUGGGGGAUAUUGCACAAUGGGGGGAACCCUGAUGCAGCGACGCCGCGUGGGUGAAGGAGUGCUUCGGCAUGUAAAGCCCUAUCAGCAGGGAAGAAAUAGCGACCUUUGGGUCGCCAGACGGUACCUGAUUAAGAAGCCCCGGCUAACUACGUGCCAGCAGCCGCGGUAAUACGUAGGGGGCAAGCGUUAUCCGGAUUUACUGGGUGUAAAGGGAGCGUAGACGGCAGCGCAAGUCUGAAGUGAAAUGCCGGGGCUUAACCCCGGAACUGCUUUGGAAACUGUGCAGCUAGAGUGCAGGAGAGGUAAGUGGAAUUCCUAGUGUAGCGGUGAAAUGCGUAGAUAUUAGGAGGAACACCAGUGGCGGAGGCGGCUUACUGGACUGUAACUGACGUUGAGGCUCGAAAGCGUGGGGAGCAAACAGGAUUAGAUACCCUCGUAAG
RNAcentral lists this ribosomal RNA (465 nucleotides) under uncultured bacterium. RNAcentral describes it as "bacterial SSU rRNA". It matches the Rfam family "Bacterial small subunit ribosomal RNA", at positions 329 to 793 of the family's 1533-position model. The record is from RNAcentral.